RNAcentral lists this ribosomal RNA (278 nucleotides) under uncultured bacterium. Its description in RNAcentral is "partial 16S ribosomal RNA". It matches the Rfam family "Bacterial small subunit ribosomal RNA", at positions 506 to 784 of the family's 1533-position model. The record is from RNAcentral.
UGCCAGCAGCCGCGGUAAUACGAAGAGAGCAAGUGUUAUUCGGAAUUAUUGGGCGUAAAGGGUAUGUAGAUGGUUUUAUAAAUUUUUUAUUAAAAACAAGAGCUCAACUUUUGAUGAUAAAUUAUAUUGUAAAACUUGAGUUUUUUAGAAAAUAGUAGUAUUUUUAAUGUAGGGCUGAUAACCGACAAUAUUAAAGAGACUAUCAAUAGGUGAAAACAACUAUUUAUAUAAAACUGACGUUGAGGUACUAAAGCGUAGGGAGCAAAUUGGAUUAGAUA